This 1356-nucleotide ribosomal RNA is filed under the name uncultured bacterium. Its description in RNAcentral is "bacterial SSU rRNA". It matches the Rfam family "Bacterial small subunit ribosomal RNA", at positions 28 to 1381 of the family's 1533-position model. The record is from RNAcentral.
AUUGAACGCUGGCGGCAGGCUUAACACAUGCAAGUCGAGCGGGGGAAGGUAGCUUGCUACUGGACCUAGCGGCGGACGGGUGAGUAAUGCUUAGGAAUCUGCCUAUUAGUGGGGGACAACGUUCCGAAAGGGACGCUAAUACCGCAUACGUCCUACGGGAGAAAGCAGGGGAUCUUCGGACCUUGCGCUAAUAGAUGAGCCUAAGUCGGAUUAGCUAGUUGGUGGGGUAAAGGCCUACCAAGGCGACGAUCUGUAGCGGGUCUGAGAGGAUGAUCCGCCACACUGGGACUGAGACACGGCCCAGACUCCUACGGGAGGCAGCAGUGGGGAAUAUUGGACAAUGGGGGGAACCCUGAUCCAGCCAUGCCGCGUGUGUGAAGAAGGCCUUUUGGUUGUAAAGCACUUUAAGCGAGGAGGAGGCUUACCUGGUUAAUACCCGGGAUAAGUGGACGUUACUCGCAGAAUAAGCACCGGCUAACUCUGUGCCAGCAGCCGCGGUAAUACAGAGGGUGCAAGCGUUAAUCGGAUUUACUGGGCGUAAAGCGCGCGUAGUGGCUAAUUAAGUCAAUGUGAAAUCCCCGAGCUUAACUUGGGAAUUGCAUUCGAUACUGGUUAGCUAGAGUAUGGGAGAGGAUGGUAGAAUUCCAGGUGUAGCGGUGAAAUGCGUAGAGAUCUGGAGGAAUACCGAUGGCGAAGGCAGCCAUCUGGCCUAAUACUGACACUGAGGUGCGAAAGCAUGGGGAGCAAACAGGAUUAGAUACCCUGGUAGUCCAUGCCGUAAACGAUGUCUACUAGCCGUUGGGGCCCUUGAGGCUUUAGUGGCGCAGCUAACGCGAUAAGUAGACCGCCUGGGGAGUACGGCCGCAAGACUAAAACUCAAAUGAAUUGACGGGGGCCCGCACAAGCGGUGGAGCAUGUGGUUUAAUUCGAUGCAACGCGAAGAACCUUACCUGGCCUUGACAUACAGAGAACUUUCCAGAGAUGGAUUGGUGCCUUCGGGAACUCUGAUACAGGUGCUGCAUGGCUGUCGUCAGCUCGUGUCGUGAGAUGUUGGGUUAAGUCCCGCAACGAGCGCAACCCUUUUCCUUAUUUGCCAGCACUUCGGGUGGGAACUUUAAGGAUACUGCCAGUGACAAACUGGAGGAAGGCGGGGACGACGUCAAGUCAUCAUGGCCCUUACGGCCAGGGCUACACACGUGCUACAAUGGUCGGUACAAAGGGUUGCUACUGCGCGAGCAGAUGCUAAUCUCAAAAAGCCGAUCGUAGUCCGGAUCGCAGUCUGCAACUCGACUGCGUGAAGUCGGAAUCGCUAGUAAUCGCGGAUCAGAAUGCCGCGGUGAAUACGUUCCCGGGCCU